Molecule: long non-coding RNA, 2952 nt
Filed under: Eutrema salsugineum
Lineage: Eukaryota; Viridiplantae; Streptophyta; Magnoliopsida; Brassicales; Brassicaceae
Description: long non-coding RNA (ESAL_LNC001387)
Source: RNAcentral
UAGUUGGAUGAUGGUACCUUGAUAAAAAAAAAUGAAACUUAGAGAAUUUAAAAGGAAAAGUUAUCAUACUCGAAUUAUCAACACAUAAAAGUUUUUAAUUGUAUACGACAAAUAAAGUUCUUGACUAGCUGAACCAAUGUUUCCCCUUUGGUUUGUGCUAUUGGUGUAUAUAUGUCUCUGGAUUAAGAAAAUUUAAAACUUCUUGUUUCAAAGGAUUUUACAAAAAUAAACAAUAUUAUAAAUAAAAUUUAAACUUAUUGGAUCCUUUAUUCGAGAUUCAUAUAGACUCAUUGUAGUCACUCCAGUCCUCUGAAUGAGUGUCAUCGUGAUGCACCAAAUCAUCUUCAUAUGCAUUAUCAAUCUGUCUUUCUCUUAUAAGCUUUGCCAUCGUGAUAACGUCGUACCCGAAAAGAUAGAAAUCUAUAGCAUUCACCAUCGUGGCAAUGGUGUUACCCAUCGAAAAAUAGGAACCUGUAGCGUUUAAACUGCAGGAGAAUAUAAAAAAGAGACCAAAAGAUCAAUACCUUGUUUAGGAUUAACAACAUAUAUAACUAAUUACCAUGAUCAGAGAUAUAAUAGUAUCCACGAGAUCUGAUAGAAACGCUCUGUUUUCUCAAAGUUUAUAUGAUCAAAAAUAAAGUGCAAGCCAAUGAAAGUGAGAACAAGAGGAUCAUUAUAAUCAAACCAAACAUAGAUGCAGAAAAGAACAGAGAAAAAAGAAGAAGAUAUACUUACCGAGCCAACUUGGGGAGUUGUGUUUUGCGAGUGAGUUUUUUUAGAUAUAUAAAGAAUGAGUGUAUCAUGCAUCUGUGAAGAGGAAAGAGGUGCGCGAAUAUGAACAACCUUGGCUCAUCGUAAAUUGAUACUUAGCCAUAAUUACGAAAUUAAAUAUUUGAACUACCAAUGUAUAUUAAAGGACUCUUCAAGUGCCACCCUUUCUGUUCUUACUCGACUUAGUUAUCAAGAUUCAUAUUUUUCGUGGGAAAAGAGAAGCAUUGUGAAUUGUGAGAGUGGACCUGCGACUGGCGCUAUUUAGUAGUCUGCGACUGAUUUAUAUCCAUAGUCAUAUUGGUUGUAUUGAAAAGCUCUAUAAUUCAUUGUCAUGUUAUUGAUGCUAUUUUUGCCAUUUUUCUUUUUACAGGACCCAAAAAAAGAGUUAUGUUUAUGUUAACUUUAAAUUCACAAAAAAAUAAACCACAAGCUUGGAUGAAAGUAAAAAACUUCAAUUUCCCGCGCGAUUAGUUUCCAAGUUCAUAUAAAUAACAUUAAUUUAUACGAUUAAAAAAAACCCUUUAUAAUUUUGUUGCGACUUAUAUAGGCUGUUGACCAAAGGAUUCAAAACAGGACGAAGGUUCGAAGAGCUUCCAGAGAAAAUAAUGAUUUGUUUUCAAAUAAAUUAUUGUAUCCACGUCAGCAUUGCAGAUUGAGACCGUAUCUAUAUUUCCACAUCAGCUUCUGACACGUGGCGACCAAACAACCGUAGACUCCUGAAACUAUCCAAUGAAAAAAUUCGAACUUAUCCGACCUUAUCUUAUUAAGAAGAAAAAAAAGCCCUCUCCUCCGAUUAGUACUUCUCAGCUUCACAUUAUCAUCAUCACUCAAACAAACACAAACAUCUGAGAAAUUGUCGUCAUGGCAACCUCUCUACAAGCCGCCACAACUUUUCUUCAGCCGGCCAAGAUCGCCGCUUCUCCUUCUCGCAGCGUUCAUCUCCGAUCAAACCAAACCGUGGCCAAGUCCUUUGGGCUUGAAUCUUCACCAGCUAGACUCACUUGCUCCCUCCACUCUGACUUCAAAGACUUCGCCGGAAAAUGCUCCGAUGCUGCCAAAGUCGCCGGUUUUGCUCUCGCCACCUCUGCUCUCGUCGUCUCGGUAUAACUUCAAUUUCUCAUUAAACAUAUAAACUAAAAACUUAUAGGCCAUUGUGUUUAUUGAAGAACCAAGUUAGGAAUCGUUAUCUAAGACACAUCCAUUUUUUGACUGCCGAUAAAUUUUGAAUGAAAAACUUGUGAAAGAUAGACAAAUCCACUCAUUACCAUUUCUUUUUUUAAUAGGAGCAUUACAAUACUUGUAAAUUUAGUUGCAUAUUGUUAAUUAGUCUUUUAUUCUUGUUCUGUAAAUAAAUAUUUGGGAAAAAUGAAGGGGGCAAGUGCAGAGGGAGCACCAAAGAGGCUAACGUACGACGAGAUACAGAGCAAGACUUACAUGGAGGUUAAGGGGACUGGUACAGCGAACCAGUGUCCAACUAUCGACGGUGGCUCUGAAGCAUUCUCAUUCAAGCCUGGUAAGUACACUGGCAAGAAAUUCUGCUUCGAGCCAACUUCCUUCACCGUCAAGGCAGAUAGCGUCAGCAAGAACGCGCCUCCGGAUUUCCAAAACACCAAGCUCAUGACCCGUCUCACUUACACACUCGACGAGAUCGAAGGACCCUUCGAGGUUCGUCCUCAAAUCAAAUUAUAGAUGUUGCUUCCACCGCAAGAAACAGACAUUGUCAAAAUUUGAACUGUUCAUAUUUGACAGGUUGGUUCAGAUGGAAGCGUGAAGUUCAAGGAAGAAGAUGGGAUCGAUUACGCAGCAGUUACGGUCCAGCUUCCUGGAGGAGAACGCGUGCCGUUUCUCUUCACGGUUAAGCAGCUCGAGGCUUCAGGGAAACCAGAUAGCUUUAGUGGCAAAUUCUUAGUUCCUUCGUACCGUGGUUCGUCCUUCUUGGACCCUAAGGGUCGUGGUGGAUCCACUGGGUAUGAUAAUGCUGUGGCUUUGCCUGCCGGAGGCAGAGGAGACGAGGAAGAGCUGUCGAAAGAAAACGUGAAGAACACGGCGGCUUCCGUCGGAGAGAUCACGUUGAAGAUCACUAAAAGCAAACCGGAGACAGGAGAAGUGAUCGGAGUGUUUGAGAGUCUUCAGCCGUCGGAUACUGACUUGGGUGCUAAGGUACCAAAGGAUGUGAAGAUC